RNAcentral lists this ribosomal RNA (381 nucleotides) under uncultured bacterium. RNAcentral describes it as "partial 16S ribosomal RNA". It matches the Rfam family "Bacterial small subunit ribosomal RNA", at positions 509 to 881 of the family's 1533-position model. The record is from RNAcentral.
CAGCAGCCGCGGUAANACGNANGAGUGCAAUGCGNUAUCCGGANUUACUGGGUGNAAAGGGAGCGCAGGCGGUACGGCAAGUCUGANGUGAAAUCCCGGGGCUCAACCCCGGUACUGCAUUGGAAACUGUCGGACUAGAGUGUCGGAGGGGUAAGUGGAAUUCCUAGUGUAGCGGUGAAANGCGUAGAUAUUAGGAGGAACACCAGUGGCGAAGGCGGCUUACUGGACGAUUACUUGACGCUGAGGCUUCGAAAGCGUGGGGAGCAAACAGGANNAGAUACCCUGGUAGUCCACGCCGUAAACGAUGAGUGCUAGGUGUUUGGGUCCUUUUCCGGGGUUUCAGUGCCGCAGCUAACGCAUUAAGCACUCCGCCUGGGGAGU